This 203-nucleotide long non-coding RNA is filed under the name Elaeis guineensis (African oil palm). RNAcentral describes it as "long non-coding RNA (EGUI_LNC021772)". The record is from RNAcentral. Lineage: Eukaryota; Viridiplantae; Streptophyta; Magnoliopsida; Arecales; Arecaceae.
ACUGAGAUGCCGCUAUCUGAACUUGAAGCUAGAUUCUUCCUCCUGAGAAUCUCGUUCUGAAGAAUCAUCACGGUGAUCUCAUCCAUCUUAAUGGUGCUCUUCUUCACUAGAAGAGCAGUCAUUAAGGAUUCAUAUGAAGGGAGAAGCGAUGUUAGUAAAAGCAGCGUCUUGAUGUUCUCUUCAACUUUUUCGUUAAUACUAAG